Eriocheir sinensis (Chinese mitten crab) is the source of this 1642-nucleotide long non-coding RNA. RefSeq lists it as uncharacterized. The transcript has 2 exons. The record is from RefSeq and is a predicted model, not a curated record. Lineage: Eukaryota; Metazoa; Arthropoda; Malacostraca; Decapoda; Varunidae.
AUUGACGAUCAAUUGCACCAAUGGAUCCCGAAUUGGUUGAGCAAUAGACAACAAAGAGUGGUGAUUGACGGAUUUAACUCAGAGUGGGCGCCGGUCACUUGUGGCGUCCCUCAGGGUUCGGUCCUUGGCCCAGUGCUCUUCAUUAUUUACAUCAACGAUGUGGACGUUGGAAUCAAUAAUCUCAUUAGUAAAUUUGAAGACGACACACAGAUUGGUAACUCGGUUCUCACUGACGAAGACAGACAAAGCCUUCAAGAGGAUUUGUAUAAAAUUUCAGCUUGGUCUGAUAGAUGGGAGAUGCCCUUUAAUGUAGUACAUAGAUAAGUGCCAGGUCCUUCAAGUUGGAACAAGAAAUAAGGAGUUCGAUUACGAAAUGCGCGGCGUCAAACUCAAAAACGUUCAGUGCUUCAAGGACUUGGGUGACAAAAUCACGUCAAACCUCAAAUUCUCACAGCAAAACAUCGAUGCAGCAAAAAAAAGCAAACAAUGUAGGGUUUCACUAAAAGAAACUUUUUAUUAAAAAAAUAAAGAAGUAAUACUUCCGCUUUACAGUAGUUUAGUCAGACCCCACUUAAAAUAUGCAGUACAGUUUUGAUCUCCCCACCAUGUAAAAAGGACAUUGCUAAAUUAGAAGGUGUACAACGUCAGGCAACAAAAAUGAUCCCUUCCUUGCGCAACAAACCCUACGACGAGAUGCUCUCCACCCUUUAAAACAUGUUCUUUCUUGAGAAACGUUGCCUCCGAGGAAAACUGAUUGAAUGUUUUAAAAUACUUAAUGGUUUUACGAAUGUGGACAAAUCAAAAUUAUUCAUUAUCAGUGACACUUUGCAAACUUUUUUUUGUUUUACAGCACAGAGAGGGCAACAAAAAGCGAUUAGUAUAGAGUUGCCAAAAGAGAGGUCAAUUUCGGAUGGAGAGGUGUCUUCAUACCCUUUUUUUUUUCGGUAUUUCGUUGGGGAUAUACCCGAAGGGAGGAAGGCGGUGCAUGCCGCGCAACCACCAAGACGUCGGGUAGAAAGAUGCCCAAUUCUUUCAAGUGGAGAAGGCCCAACAACGGGCUGGGGGUGUCGGAAAGAGCCCCCAACCUUUCCACUCCAAUGGAACCGGGUAGGACUCGAACCUAUACGCUCCAGCACCCCCCUCCCCCCCCCAACCGGAGCGGAAGGCGGAGACUCAGCCACUGGACCACAGGAGCCCCCUACACUCCUCUUGAAAGAGGUCAAGUCAUAUACAGGGAGACGCAAUCUUGGCUAGCUGUAGGUGGCCAGAGCCGCCGAAGGCAUAGCCUGUUUUUAGCACUGAAUAAGAGUUUUUUUAUUUAUUUAUUUAUUUAUUUAUUUAUUUUUUACUGAUGUUGUAUUCGUGUUGUUAUAGUAAGAGUUGGUAUUUUAUUUUAAUAUUUUUUUUAUAGCGUGUGCAUGAGAUGAAAAAUAAAUUUUCCCGCUUUUGAAAAGAAUAUGUCAAAUACUUUAUCACAUUUUAUUUCCUUUCAUAAGAAUAUCAUAAGUUGGGUGAGGCGAAUUGCUCAAUAAAUACAUAUUUAGAAUGACAAUGGUUACCAUAAUAAUUUGAAUACAGAGAGAGAGAGAGAGAGAGAGAGAGAGAGAGAGAGAGAGAGAGAGAGAGAGAGAGAGAGAGAGAA